This 781-nucleotide long non-coding RNA is filed under the name Coturnix japonica (Japanese quail). RNAcentral describes it as "lncRNA (ENSCJPG00005008765.1)". The record is from RNAcentral. Lineage: Eukaryota; Metazoa; Chordata; Aves; Galliformes; Phasianidae.
GUCUGAAAAUAACUUGUUUCUUUUUCGUUUUGCCCUGAGAAAACAAAUGAAUGCCCUGUUGACAGACUUCUAUAGGGAAGACUUCAUUUCAGAUCAGCAUCUGAAAUGUUUGUAGGUCUGCUAUCAGGCUUGGUGUCCUCCACUGGACUCCUCCUUUGCAAACUAUAUUUCUCUGCUGAAAUUAAGUGACUUUCAGGUAAUGUGCUUCAUUAAAGAAAUACGAAAUCAAGAACUUUAGGGCUGGGACAUCUUUAUAGUUGUGCUGUCUAAGGUGAAACCUUCCUAACUGUAUUUGUUUUCUUCUAGGAUGACAGUGUAGCCUUCUAGAUUUGUACAAAAUCAUGCCCAAAGAACUCAGUCCCUAGAGCCAGAAGUCCUCAGAUACUGAAAAGUUCCUGCAGCUCAGGAUGUAGUGGACAUCAUGGUCCUUUUCCCUUGCUCUCUUUUCUUGAAGAAAGUAGGAGACAGCAGGGAAAACAGAUGAGUCCAUUAGCCACAUCUCAGUGUGUUCCGAUCUUUUUGCCUAGAAGUUGACUUUCCUCUGCUUUGCUCUGGAGGGAUGCUUUGAUGUGCCCUGCCACAUUAUUCUGGUAGAUAUCCUGUGCAUGUCUUGCAACCCACCUGAUGUUAUGAUCACAGUCUAGUUUAACGUUUUGGCUGCUGCUACCAUCCUCCAGCUUCUGAGAUUGUAUCUGCCUGUCAGGAGCAGCAUUCCAGGUGUUAUUUGGCUUCAGAUUUUUGUUACAAGAUUUUUUUUCCUCAUUGUCCUGUUACUAAUUUG